Molecule: transfer RNA, 76 nt
Filed under: Cronobacter phage LPCS28
Lineage: Duplodnaviria; Heunggongvirae; Uroviricota; Caudoviricetes; Pantevenvirales; Straboviridae
Description: tRNA-Ala
Rfam family: tRNA
About the family: Transfer RNA (tRNA) molecules are approximately 80 nucleotides in length. Their secondary structure includes four short double-helical elements and three loops (D, anti-codon, and T loops).
Source: RNAcentral
GGGCGUGUAGCUCAAUUGGGAGAGCAACUGCUUUGCAAGCAGAAGGUUGAGGGUUCGAGUCCCUUCUUGUCCACCA